GACAGAGGGGGCAAGCGUUGCUCGGAAUUACUGGGCGUAAAGGGCGCGUAGGCGGGAUGGCAAGUCGGUCGUGAAAUCCCUCGGCUCAACCGAGGAACGUCGAUCGAUACUGCUGUUCUUGAGGAUUGCAGAGGAGACUGGAAUUCCCGGCGUAGCGGUGAAAUGUGUAGAGAUCGGGAGGAACACCGGUGGCGAAGGCGGGUCUCUGGGCAAUUCCUGACGCUGAGGAGCGAAAGUGUGGGGAGCGAACAGG
RNAcentral lists this ribosomal RNA (253 nucleotides) under uncultured bacterium. RNAcentral's name for it is "partial 16S ribosomal RNA". It matches the Rfam family "Bacterial small subunit ribosomal RNA", at positions 524 to 776 of the family's 1533-position model. The record is from RNAcentral.